Molecule: non-coding RNA, 74 nt
Submitted as: unclassified sequences
Source: Rfam
GGGGAAACACUUAGAACCCCGUGAGCGUUGUGUUAAUAGUCGUGCUUUUGGCCGAGUGCGACGGUUAGUGAAUC